AGUGAACGCUGGCGGUAGGCCUAACACAUGCAAGUCGAACGGCAGCACAGUAAGAGCUUGCUCUUACGGGUGGCGAGUGGCGGACGGGUGAGGAAUACAUCGGAAUCUACUUUUUCGUGGGGGAUAACGUAGGGAAACUUACGCUAAUACCGCAUACGACCUACGGGUGAAAGCAGGGGAUCUUCGGACCUUGCGCGAUUGAAUGAGCCGAUGUCGGAUUAGCUAGUUGGCGGGGUAAAGGCCCACCAAGGCGACGAUCCGUAGCUGGUCUGAGAGGAUGAUCAGCCACACUGGAACUGAGACACGGUCCAGACGCCUACGGGAGGGAGCAGUGGGGAAUAUUGGACAGUGGGCGCAAGCCUGAUCCAGCCAUACCGAGUGGGUGACGAAGGCCUUCGGGUUGUAAAGCCCUUUUGUUGGGAAAGAAAAGCAGCAGGUUAAUACCCCGCUGUCCUGACGGUACCCAAAGAAUAAGCACCGGCUAACUUCGUG
This 492-nucleotide ribosomal RNA is filed under the name uncultured bacterium. RNAcentral's name for it is "partial 16S ribosomal RNA". It matches the Rfam family "Bacterial small subunit ribosomal RNA", at positions 29 to 507 of the family's 1533-position model. The record is from RNAcentral.